ACUGCUUGCUAAGGCACUCGAGCACUGCUUGCUGCAGCACAUGCUUUGCUUUCAUUUGCAGAAUUAUGUACUUUGUAAAUAAGUUGUAUUUUGUUGAUCCUUGUUGAUCCUUGCAAUAAGUGUUAUAUCCUAUUCAAUAAUAGCAUAUAAGAGCACAAUUAAAUGUAUCGCAGAUUUGCACUGCUGUUGUGUUAGCAGUCAGUUAACAAGUGAACUCGCAGAGCACAAAGCAUGCUCUGCAUAUAAUCAGCUUAAAAUAUCAGCGAACAAACAAUUUCAAUCAAAUUGAAAUCAAACGCUGCAGGAGGACGCCUCCAAUCCUCACCUCCUCCAAUUCUCGCAUCCUUCCGAAUCCCCCGUCAUUACCCGCAGUUAUGUUCCAGAUUUACCUUGCUACGUGCAGCGCCACGUUGAUUGCUCAUAUGUGUGCGAUGCGCAGGCGAUGGUGAAGGCGAUGGCGAAGGCGAAGGCGAUGGAGGUGAAAGAAUAAUAAAGGCGCAGUCAGCCAGUUUUCCAGGUUGGCCCGAGCCGAGUCAAGCAGUCGAGCGCGAAAUAAGCUUUGUCUGAUGGACUGAGGUAAGUGAACAGUGGAGCAGAUCCGCCAGGUGGAGAUGAUGCCACAUGACACGCGGUGGAGCUGCCAGCAGCAAUAGCACGACAGAUUGAUGAUCAAAAAUAAAUGGAAGCCACUGUUUCUAGAAAUUUCUAUAACUUAAA
Drosophila yakuba is the source of this 717-nucleotide long non-coding RNA. RefSeq lists it as uncharacterized. Lineage: Eukaryota; Metazoa; Arthropoda; Insecta; Diptera; Drosophilidae. The transcript has 2 exons. The record is from RefSeq and is a predicted model, not a curated record.